AGAAUCAACGCUGGCGGCGUGCCUAACACAUGCAAGUCGAACGAGAAAGUGGAGCAAUCCAUGAGUAAAGUGGCGACCGGGUGAGUAACACGUGACUAACCUACCUUCGAGUGGGGGAUAACAUCGGGAAACCGAUGCUAAUACCGCAUAACAUCGCAAGAUCAAAGCAGCAAUGCGCUGGAAGAGGGGGUCGCGGCUGAUUAGCUAGUUGGCGGGGUAACGGCCCACCAAGGCGAAGAUCGGUAGCCGGCCUGAGAGGGCGCACGGCCACACUGGAACUGAAACACGGUCCAGACUCCUACGGGAGGCAGCAGUGGGGAAUUUUGCGCAAUGGGGGAAACCCUGACGCAGCAACGCCGCGUGGAGGAUGAAGCCCCUUGGGGUGUAAACUCCUUUCGACCAAGACGAUAAUGACGGUACUGGUGGAAGAAGCACCGGCUAACUCUGUGCCAGCAGCCGC
This 460-nucleotide ribosomal RNA is filed under the name uncultured bacterium. RNAcentral's name for it is "SSU rRNA". It matches the Rfam family "Bacterial small subunit ribosomal RNA", at positions 26 to 518 of the family's 1533-position model. The record is from RNAcentral.